UUAAGCACAUUCAAACCAGGUCUCGCAGGGGACCGAUCGGACGCACUAAGAACAGAGCCAGAGACGCGCGCGGUAAAGGACUUCAAAUUCGCCGGUCAGUACCAAUCCAAAUUGAAGGCGAUCGUGGUGCAGCAAGCAAAACAGAACAAUGGCGGGGACUGAGCGCGGUGAGGAAACUGUAAUGUUGGGCAGGACGCCAUCUGGCGGACACAAUGACGAUGUGCAGCGAAUGUGACAAGGUACAUUAAUGAGACUCUCAGGCUGUACCACUGACAUUGGAGAGUCUACAAGUAGAUACAGACGUUACAAUGGAAUGGUAGUAUAACGUUACACUAUUGCUAUUGCUGGUGUCGUAACCCAAAUAUAACAUAUACACUGUAUAAUCUAGGAGACUGAAACAAACAUAAAGUACAGUUUAAGAAAGCAUAAUGUAUAAUCUGCCUGACAGUACAUAUCAACAGUAUAUUAGCCCCCACCAGGCCUUCCUACGG
This is a long non-coding RNA of Branchiostoma floridae (Florida lancelet), 491 nucleotides long. RefSeq lists it as uncharacterized. NCBI's taxonomy places the organism in Eukaryota, Metazoa, Chordata, Leptocardii, Amphioxiformes, Branchiostomatidae. The transcript is spliced from 3 exons. The record is from RefSeq and is a predicted model, not a curated record.